UACGUAGGGUGCAAGCGUUUAAUCGGAAUUACUGGGCGUAAAGCGUGCGCAGGCGGUUUUGUAAGUUUGUCGUGAAAUCCCCCGGGCUCAACCUGGGAAUGGCGAUGAAGACUGCAAGGCUAGAAUCUGGCAGAGGGGGGUAGAAUUCCACGUGUAGCAGUGAAAUGCGUAGAGAUGUGGAGGAACACCGAUGGCGAAGGCAGCCCCCUGGGUCAAGAUUGACGCUCAUGCACGAAAGGCGUGGGGAGCAAACGAGG
RNAcentral lists this ribosomal RNA (257 nucleotides) under uncultured bacterium. RNAcentral describes it as "partial 16S ribosomal RNA". It matches the Rfam family "Bacterial small subunit ribosomal RNA", at positions 524 to 777 of the family's 1533-position model. The record is from RNAcentral.